AAGUCGUAACAAGGUCUCCGUUGGUGAACCAGCGGAGGGAUCAUUACUGGGUGGCUUCGGCCUAAACCCCUAACCAUUGUGAACGAUACCAGUUGCUUAGCUGGUGGCGGUGAAAACUGCAGUACCGGCGGCACAAACUCUUCUAAUGUCAUCUCUGAGUUACUUUUAAAUAAGUCAAAACUUUCAACAACGGAUCUCUUGGUUCUG
RNAcentral lists this unclassified non-coding RNA (207 nucleotides) under Arnium sp. Its description in RNAcentral is "partial internal transcribed spacer region". The stretch from base 1 to 46 matches the Rfam family "Eukaryotic small subunit ribosomal RNA", at positions 1786 to 1831 of the family's 1831-position model. Lineage: Eukaryota; Fungi; Ascomycota; Sordariomycetes; Sordariales; Lasiosphaeriaceae. The record is from RNAcentral.